This 963-nucleotide non-coding RNA is filed under the name Zenkerella insignis (Cameroon scaly-tail). RNAcentral's name for it is "partial 12S ribosomal RNA". It matches the Rfam family "Bacterial small subunit ribosomal RNA". Lineage: Eukaryota; Metazoa; Chordata; Mammalia; Rodentia; Anomaluridae. The record is from RNAcentral.
AUUAAAGAUUUGGUCCUGGUCUUUUUAUUGGUUGUUAGCAAAACUACACAUGCAAGCGUCCACGCACCAGUGAGAACAUCCUCCGAUAUCUACCAUUAGACUCAGAGGAAUGGGUAUCAAGCACACUAAACAGUAGCUAAAGACACCUCGCUAAGCCACGCCCCCACGGGAAACAGCAGUGAUUAAAAUUGAGCAAUGAACGAAAGUUUGACUCAGUUAUGCUAUUCAGGGUUGGUAAAUUUCGUGCCAGCCACCGCGGUCACACGAUUAACCCAAAUCAAUAAGCAUCCGGCGUAAAGCGUGUCACACUUACUAAACACAAUAAGGUUAAGAAUUAACUAAGCCGUAAAAAGCCCCAGUUAAAAUAAAAAUCAACAACGAAAGUAACCUUAUUAACCAUGCUCAGACACGACAGCUAAGACCCAAACUGAGAUUAGAUACCUCACUAUGCUUAGCCGUAAACCUAACUUAUUAUUCAAAACAAAAUACUUCGCCUGAGAACUACUAGCUGCCGCUUAAAACUCAAAGGACUUGGCGGUGCUUUAUAUCCAUCUAGAGGAGCCUGUUCUAUAAUCGAUAAACCCCGAUAAACCUCACCAUCUUUUGCAACUCAGCCUAUAUACCGCCAUCUUCAGCAAACCUUAACAAAGAAAAGAAGUAAGCACAAUAAUCUAUCAUAAAAACGUUAGGUCAAGGUGUAGCCUAUAAGAUGGGAAGAAAUGGGCUACAUUUUCUACCCAAGAACAUCACACGAUAACCAAUAUGAAACCUAUUGGCCAAAGGAGGAUUUAGUAGUAAAUUAAGAAUAGAGAGCUUAAUUGAAUAGAGCAAUGAAGCAUGCACACACCGCCCGUCACCCUCCUCAACCUAUCAAACUCAACUAAUACCUAAUUAAAGUAAUAAGAUACUAGAGGAGAUAAGUCGUAACAAGGUAAGCAUACUGGAAAGUGUGCUUGGAAAAAC